This 493-nucleotide unclassified non-coding RNA is filed under the name Lippia origanoides. RNAcentral describes it as "partial external transcribed spacer". Lineage: Eukaryota; Viridiplantae; Streptophyta; Magnoliopsida; Lamiales; Verbenaceae. The record is from RNAcentral.
AGACAAGCAUAUGACUACUGGCAGGAUCAACCAGGUAGCAUUCCUCAUCGACGUCGAUCUCCGCAUGAACCGAGCCAAUAGUAGACUCCGUCACAACGGGAACGAACGUCGUCCGCAUGAAGCGUCGAACGCUCUUUAUUUCGGGGUAAAUAGAGGUCGAUGACCUCGUACCGCAUCGCUAUUCCGCAUCCGAGAGAACGAGCGCUACGACAAGGGCCWACGAGUACGAGCGUUGAGUGCGCACGAAUCGUGGAUCAAAUCGAGUGCUUCGUUGUCCACCCCGCACCGCAUCCCGGAAGGGCGCAACACAAGGAGGAAUAGGGUAAUCGGGACAACAUCAUGCCUUCUCGAUAGGUAUACAACACAGGAAACCGACGUCGGUCAAGGCAAUCCGCAACUUGAGCCAACAAUUGAAGAGGCUUGCACGAGAUGCCGUCGCUGCCCGAGCAGGGAACCGACAUGCCCAUACAAACCAAUCACCACUCACGCGCUC